RNAcentral lists this ribosomal RNA (238 nucleotides) under Mycobacterium kumamotonense. RNAcentral's name for it is "Mycolicibacter kumamotonensis partial 23S ribosomal RNA". It matches the Rfam family "Bacterial large subunit ribosomal RNA", at positions 533 to 772 of the family's 2925-position model. Lineage: Bacteria; Bacillati; Actinomycetota; Actinomycetes; Mycobacteriales; Mycobacteriaceae. The record is from RNAcentral.
GCGGAGUGAAAGAGAUCCUGAAACCGUGUGCCUACAAGUAGUCAGAGCCCGUUAACGGGUGAUGGCGUGCCUUUUGUAGAAUGAACCGGCGAGUUACGAUCCCGUGCAAGGUUAAGCAGAAGAUGCGGAGCCGCAGCGAAAGCGAGUCUGAAUAGGGCGCAUGAGUACGUGGUCGUAGACCCGAAACCAGGUGAUCUACCCAUGUCCAGGGUGAAGUUCAGGUAACACUGAAUGGAGG